GGGGAAUAUUGCGCAAUGGGCGAAAGCCUGACGCAGCGACGCCGCGUGGGGGAUGAAGGCCUUCGGGUUGUAAACCCCUUUCAGCUCUGACGAAGCCUUUGGGUGACGGUAGGGGCAGAAGAAGCGCCGGCCAACUACGUGCCAGCAGCCGCGGUAAGACGUAGGGCGCAAGCGUUGUCCGGAUUUAUUGGGCGUAAAGAGCUCGUAGGCGGCCUGUCGCGUCAAUCGUGAAAUCCUGCGGCUUAACGGUGGGGUUGCGGUUGAUACGGGCGGGCUGGAGUGCGGUAGGGGAGACUGGAAUUCCUGGUGUAGCGGUGAAAUGCGCAGAUAUCAGGAGGAACACCGGUGGCGAAGGCGGGUCUCUGGGCCGUUACUGACGCUGAGGAGCGAAAGCGUGGGGAGCGAAC
Molecule: ribosomal RNA, 407 nt
Filed under: uncultured bacterium
Lineage: Bacteria
Description: bacterial SSU rRNA
Rfam family: Bacterial small subunit ribosomal RNA
Source: RNAcentral